UAGUAAGAGUGAGGAAGGUCGGAGUCGUCGCAAUUAAAGCAUUUUUAAAGAAAGAAUGAGUGUUG
This 65-nucleotide non-coding RNA is filed under the name uncultured Ochromonas. The record is from RNAcentral. Lineage: Eukaryota; Chrysophyceae; Chromulinales; Chromulinaceae.